GCCGCCGAAGGCGGCUACGGAAGCGCGUCCUUGGUAAGGACGAGACCGCGGGUUCAACUCCCGCCUCAGGCU
Molecule: transfer RNA, 72 nt
Filed under: Halorubrum virus VOLN27B
Lineage: Duplodnaviria; Heunggongvirae; Uroviricota; Caudoviricetes; Thumleimavirales; Hafunaviridae
Description: tRNA-Thr
Rfam family: tRNA
About the family: Transfer RNA (tRNA) molecules are approximately 80 nucleotides in length.
Source: RNAcentral